GUGCGGCUGAGAAUGGAAGUCUUCAAAAACGAGACCAAGAGACGCGAGCUAGUCAACAAUCUUCAGAGUCUGUCGGCCGGUGACCGUGUGCGUAUGCUGCGUGCCAUGCCCCUCAGUCUGGCAGAGAAGACUAAACUCAGGCUUUGUAUCACGUCUUGUUCGGCGGUCUCUUCAUCCUAAAUUCCCUGCAGUUGUGGAAGGUGGCUCUGAAGAGGUUGUGUGGCCGCUUCGGCACUGGUGUGCUCUUCUACUUCCUCUUCCUCAGAACUCUUCUGCUCUUCAACGUCUUCCUCUUCCUCA
This is a long non-coding RNA of Coregonus clupeaformis (lake whitefish), 300 nucleotides long. RefSeq lists it as uncharacterized. The record is from RefSeq and is a predicted model, not a curated record. NCBI's taxonomy places the organism in Eukaryota, Metazoa, Chordata, Actinopteri, Salmoniformes, Salmonidae. The transcript has 3 exons.